RNAcentral lists this transfer RNA (73 nucleotides) under Chlorobiota bacterium. RNAcentral describes it as "tRNA-Met". It matches the Rfam family "tRNA". From Rfam's summary of the family: Transfer RNA (tRNA) molecules are approximately 80 nucleotides in length. Their secondary structure includes four short double-helical elements and three loops (D, anti-codon, and T loops). Lineage: Bacteria; Pseudomonadati; Chlorobiota. The record is from RNAcentral.
GCGGGGUGACUGGAGGUGGCACCAGCGCGGUUUCAUACGCCGCACAAACGCGGGUUCAAGUCCCGCCCCCGCA